CCUACGGGUGGCAGCAGUGGGGGAUAUUGCACAAUGGGGGAAACCCUGAUGCAGCGACGCCGCGUGGGCGAAGAAGUAUUUCGGUAUGUAAAGCCCUAUCAGCAGGGAAGAAGAAAUGACGGUACCUGAGUAAGAAGCACCGGCUAAAUACGUGCCAGCAGCCGCGGUAAUACGUAUGGUGCAAGCGUUAUCCGGAUUUACUGGGUGUAAAGGGCGUGCAGCCGGAGAGACAAGUCAGAUGUGAAAUCCACGGGCUCAACCCGUGAACUGCAUUUGAAACUGUUUCCCUUGAGUGUCGGAGAGGUAAUCGGAAUUCCUUGUGUAGCGGUGAAAUGCGUAGAUAUAAGGAAGAACACCAGUGGCGAAGGCGGAUUACUGGACGAUAACUGACGGUGAGGCGCGAAAGCGUGGGGAGCAAACAGGAUUAGAUACCCUGGUAGUC
RNAcentral lists this ribosomal RNA (442 nucleotides) under uncultured bacterium. Its description in RNAcentral is "partial 16S ribosomal RNA". It matches the Rfam family "Bacterial small subunit ribosomal RNA", at positions 338 to 795 of the family's 1533-position model. The record is from RNAcentral.